RNAcentral lists this ribosomal RNA (460 nucleotides) under uncultured bacterium. RNAcentral's name for it is "partial 16S ribosomal RNA". It matches the Rfam family "Bacterial small subunit ribosomal RNA", at positions 338 to 795 of the family's 1533-position model. The record is from RNAcentral.
CCUACGGGAGGCAGCAGUGAGGAAUAUUGGUCAAUGGGCGCGAGCCUGAACCAGCCAAGUAGCGUGAAGGAUGACUGCCCUACGGGUUGUAAACUUCUUUUAUAAGGGAAUAAAAUGCGCCACGUGUGCUUUUUUGUAGGUACUUCAUGAAUAAGGACCGGCUAAUUCCGUGCCAGCAGCCGCGGUAAUACGGAGGGUCCGGGCGUUAUCCGGAUUUAUUGGGUUUAAAGGGAGCGUAGACGGGUUGUUAAGCCUGUGGUGAAAUUUUGCGGCUCAACCGUAAAAUUGCAAUUGAGACUGGCAGUCUUGAGUACAGUUGAGGUAGGCGGAAUUCGUGGUGUAGCGGUGAAAUGCUUAGAUAUCACGAAGAACUCCGAUUGCGAAGGCAGCUUACUAAACUGCCACUGACAUUGAUGCUCGAAAGUGUGGGUAUCAAACAGGAUUAGAUACCCUUGUAGUC